Molecule: ribosomal RNA, 301 nt
Filed under: uncultured bacterium
Lineage: Bacteria
Description: partial 16S ribosomal RNA
Rfam family: Bacterial small subunit ribosomal RNA
Source: RNAcentral
CAGCCGCCGCGGGAAUACGUAGGUGGCAAGCGUUGUCCGGAAUUAUUGGGCGUAAAGGGCUCGCAGGCGGUUUCUUAAGUCUGAUGUGAAAGCUCCCGGCUCAACCGGGGAGGGUCAUUGGAAACUGGGAAACUUGAGUGCAGAAGAGGAGAGUGGAAUUCCACGUGUAGCGGUGAAAUGCGUAGAGAUGUGGAGGAACACCAGUGGCGAAGGCGACUCUCUGGUCUGUAACUGACGCUGAGGAGCGAAAGCGUGGGGAGCGAACAGGAUUAGAGACCCGCGUAGUCCCUGUCUCUUAUAC